AAGCCUUAAAAAAAGCUUGUUGUUGAAAUUGCUUAACAACCUUAUCAUCCACAUUCUUUCAAUUUCUCCUUAGCUUUGGGAAACCCAACACCUACCACAGUUGACCACAGUGCUGGUCCAGAGAAGUUCCUCAUCCCUUUGAGCUUGUUGAUCCUUCUUGCGAUAGCAACUUUGAUCACCUGGUUCCUGUUAAAAAGACAUAAGAACACCACAGCAGAAUCUUCAGCAACAACGACUGCAGAGGAAGUAACAUACAGCACUGUAGCCAUGAGGAAUAAACCCUCAAGCCAGGUAAGGGACUGUGUGAAAAUGACUGGCCUAAACCUUUUUGUUACAUUAUUAACAGAUCCUUUAAAGAUAUAUUAAAAUUGUAUUUUGACCUCUGAUUUUGACCUGUUAUACUAGAUUUCUAGUGUGCAGUUCCAAACAUUUGAAACGACAGUCAACUCCUAUGAUAAUGGAUAUUCUUCUUUUAUUUUGGUUGCCUCAAAAUAUCCUCUAUUUAAGUAACAUCUGGUUUAUUCCUUCGUCAGGCUCAAGAGGAAAUAACAAACAGUUAUUUCAAGCAUGUAAGAAAAAAAUCAGCAACAUAGUCCUGAACCACUAUGAACAUAACAUUUCUCAAUCGAUCUGUUUUAAAUUUUUCCCUUUGUUCUUACACAGGGGUCAGAUCCAGGGGGGGAUGUGAUAUACAGCUCUGUGGUAAUAUUGAACCAAACAAA
This is a long non-coding RNA of Labrus mixtus (cuckoo wrasse), 722 nucleotides long. RefSeq lists it as uncharacterized. The transcript is spliced from 4 exons. Lineage: Eukaryota; Metazoa; Chordata; Actinopteri; Labriformes; Labridae. The record is from RefSeq and is a predicted model, not a curated record.